GAAAUGCGAUACGUAAUGUGAAUUGCAGAAUUCAGUGAAUCAUCGAAUCUUUGAACGCACAUUGCACCUGCCAGUAUUCUGGCAGGUAUGCCUGUUCGAGCGUCAUUUCAACCCCUCAAGCGCCGCUUGGUGUUGGGGCGCUGCGCGCCGCGCAGGCCCCCAAGGACAGCUGGCGGGCUCUCUCGUGGCACCGAGCGUAGUAGACAACCCUCGCUCUGGCAGGCCGGGAGGCUCCGGCCGUUAAACCCCCCUAUAUUUAUCAAGGUUGACCUCGGAUCAGGUAGGAAUACCCGCUGAACUUAA
This 303-nucleotide unclassified non-coding RNA is filed under the name uncultured Rhexodenticula. Its description in RNAcentral is "sequence contains ITS1". The stretch from base 1 to 105 matches the Rfam family "5.8S ribosomal RNA", at positions 50 to 154 of the family's 154-position model. The record is from RNAcentral. Lineage: Eukaryota; Fungi; Ascomycota; Sordariomycetes.